Molecule: ribosomal RNA, 1377 nt
Filed under: Eurysternus inflexus
Lineage: Eukaryota; Metazoa; Arthropoda; Insecta; Coleoptera; Scarabaeidae
Description: 16S ribosomal RNA
Rfam family: Archaeal large subunit ribosomal RNA (bases 1105-1263)
Source: RNAcentral
UGUGAAAUUCAAUUUAAUUUGAAUUUAAAGAUUUAUUUUAAUUUUAUAAUUUUUUUUUAUUUAAAUAAAAUAUUUUUUAGUUUUUUUAUUAAUUUAGAUAAAAUUAUUUUUAUUAUAGUUAAUUAGUAUUGUGAAAGAAGAUUGAAAUAUUUUGAAAAAUUAAAAUUUUUAAAAGAAAAAUUUAUUUUUUGUACCUUGUGUAUCAGGGUUUAUUAAAUAAUAAUUAUUUAUUAUUAAUUUUCUCGAAUUUAAAAGAGCUAAAAAAUUAUAAAUUUUAUUGUGUCAUAAAUAUUUAAAAUAAUUUUUUAGUAAUGAAACGUUAUUCGUUUUUAAAUUUAUCUAGUUUUUUAAGAAAUAAAUUUAAUUUAGUUUAUUAUUAUAAUUUUUAAUUAAUUUUUAUAUUAAAAUUAAGUAAUAAAUUAAUAUUUUAAGGGAUAAGCUUUAAAAUAAAAAUUUAAAAAUUAUUUUAUUUUACAGUAAGAAAUUAUUGGAUUAGAAGUUUUUAUUAUUAGAUAGUGUGUUAUAACAAAUUCUUAUUUGAAUAUAAUUUUUAUAUAAUUUUAAAUUUUUUAUUAAAAUUAUUAAUUAAAUUAUAAAUUUAAUGUAAUAAUGAUAAAAUUAGUAUAAUUUUAUUUUGUAUAUUUAAUUUAAAAAUUUAAGGUUAAAUUAAGGAACUCGGCAAAUAUUUUUUUCGCCUGUUUAUUAAAAACAUGUCUUUUUGAUUAUAAUUUAAAGUCUGGCCUGCCCUAUGAAUUAUUUUUAAAUGGCUGCGGUAUUUUGACCGUACAAAGGUAGCAUAAUAAUUAGUUUUUUAAUUGGGAACUGGUAUGAAUGGUCGAACGAGAAAAAGACUGUCUCAAUUUAAAUUAAAUUAGAAUUUUAUUUUUAAGUAAAAAAGCUUAAAUGUAUUUAAAAGACGAGAAGACCCUAUAGAGUUUUAUAUAAUUAUUUUUUAUUUGAAAGUUAAAGUAUUAUAAAUUUAUUUAAUUAAUUUUUUAUUUGGUUGGGGUGAUUAAAAAAUUUAAUAAACUUUUUUUAUAUAAAUUCAUUGAUAUAUGUUUAUGUGAUCCAAUAUUUUUGAUUAUAAGAUUAAAUUACCUUAGGGAUAACAGCGUAAUUUUUUUUUAGAGUUCUUAUCGAAAAAAAAGUUUGCGACCUCGAUGUUGGAUUAAAAUAAACUUUUGGCGUAGCAACUAAAAAGUUGGGUCUGUUCGACCUUUAAAAUUUUACAUGAUCUGAGUUUAAAUCGGCGUGAGCCAGAUUGGUUUCUAUCUUUAAAAAUUUAAAAUAUUUUAGUACGAAAGGACCAAAUAUUUAUAAUAAUUAUUUUAUUAAGAAUAUUAUUAAAAUUAAAAUUACUUUGGCAGAUUAGUGCUU